RNAcentral lists this ribosomal RNA (447 nucleotides) under uncultured Planctomycetaceae bacterium. Its description in RNAcentral is "bacterial SSU rRNA". It matches the Rfam family "Bacterial small subunit ribosomal RNA", at positions 29 to 505 of the family's 1533-position model. The record is from RNAcentral. Lineage: Bacteria; Pseudomonadati; Planctomycetota; Planctomycetia; Planctomycetales; Planctomycetaceae.
AAUGAACGUUGGCGGCAUGGAUUAGGCAUGCAAGUCGAGCGAGAAACCUUUUUGCUUGCAUUAAGGUGGACAGCGGCGAAAGGGAGAGUAACGCGUAGAAAUGUACCCCGAGGUCUGGGAUAGCUGUGGGAAACCGCAGGUAAUACCGGAUAAUGUCUCCGGACCAAAGUUUUUCGCCUUGGGAGCAGUCUGCGUACUAUUAGGUUGUUGGUGGGGUAAAGGCCUACCAAGCCUCAGAUGGUUAGCGGGCGUGAGAGCGUGGCCCGUCUCACUGGGACUGAGACACUGCCCAGACAUCUACGGAUGGCUGCAGUCGAGAAUCUUCCGCAAUGGGCGAAAGCCUGACGGAGCAAUGCCGCGUGGUGGAUGAAGGCCCUCGGGUUGUAAACACCUGUCAGUAGGGAGGAAAUUUUGACCGAUCUACAGAGGAAGUCCGGGCUAAGUACG